GACGAACGCUGGCGGCGUGCUUAACACAUGCAAGUCGAACGGAAAGGCCCUGCUUUUGUGGGGGGCUCGAGUGGCGAACGGGUGAGUAACACGUGAGUAACCUGCCCUUGACUUUGGGAUAACUUCAGGAAACUGGGGCUAAUACCGGAUAGGAGCUCCUGCAGCAUGGUGGGGGUUGGAAAGUUUCGGCGGUUGGGGAUGGACUCGCGGCUUAUCAGCCUGCUGGUGGGGUAGUGGCUGACCAAGGCUUUGACGGGUAGCCGGGCUGAGCGGGUGACCGGCCACAUUGGGGCUGGGAUACGGCCCAGACUCCUACGGGAGGCAGCGGUGGGGAGUGUUGCACAGUGGGCGGGGGCCUGAUGGAGCAACGCCGCGUGCGGGGUGACGGCCUUCGGGUUGUAAGCCGCUUUCGCCUGUGACGAGGCGUGAGUGACGGUAAUGGGUAAAGAAGCACCGGCUAACUACGUG
Molecule: ribosomal RNA, 468 nt
Filed under: uncultured bacterium
Lineage: Bacteria
Description: partial 16S ribosomal RNA
Rfam family: Bacterial small subunit ribosomal RNA
Source: RNAcentral